This 5310-nucleotide long non-coding RNA is filed under the name Daucus carota (carrot). RNAcentral describes it as "long non-coding RNA (DCAR_LNC002697)". The record is from RNAcentral. Lineage: Eukaryota; Viridiplantae; Streptophyta; Magnoliopsida; Apiales; Apiaceae.
AGAGGAGGACGAUAUUAAGGGAGGGGAUUCUGCAUGCUUUGUUUGCAACAAACAAAUUGUAGCAGGCUUUCCUACAUAUACUUGCAUUCAUGAUGUCGAUGUUGAUUGUCAAAAUUUCUACCUCCACAAGACUUGUACAGAAUUCCCCUUGCAGCUGAACCACCAUAAGCACAACAAGCACUCCCUUGCUUUUCUGCCAGCUCCUGAUUGCGUUUGUGAUGUUUGUUUUCAUGCUUUAAAGUUUGCUUAUGCGUGUGAUGAUUGUAAGUUUCAUGUGUGUGUGUUCUGUGCUUUCGAACAGAGAGUGCUUAGUCAUCAAGGUCAUCCGGAGCACGCACUGACAUUGAUCAAGAGGGAGUCCUUGUUCACCUGUGAUGCUUGUUACGAGGAAGCCAAAGAGUCUUCGUAUUUGUGCCUCACCUGUGACUUCUGGAUCCACAAGACUUGUGCUCUUUCCCCUUCCACUAUUCAAGCUUCUAAUCACCUUUACAUUUGUUUUAGAGAGGCCUAAGAAAAAAGGCUUCCUAUACAAGUGUAGCAAUUGUGCUGACUCCUAUGAAUUUGGUGUAUUUUUUAGAUGUGACGGGUGUGGAUAUCUUGCCUGCUAUGGAUGUGUCAAUAAGGUUCAUUGCCAGAAAUGCACAUACUUUGCGCACAUCAAAUGUGCCACAUCCUCGGUUAUAAUGUGAGUACCCUUUCUUAUUUUGAUUCUUUGUUAUAUAGACCAAUUAUUUCAUAAUUUAUCACGAGCUUCAUGUCUGACGAUUAUCAGCUCUAAUAUAAAUUAUUUAUAUCCAGAAAUGAGAUUGAAGCAGAGGACAUUGAUAAUGAACUUGCUUUGGUCCAAUUUCCUUUGCCUAGCAAGGAGUCACUGUUUGAUCUUAUCAUCACCCAGUAUUACCAAGGUGAAAGCUUUAUCACUUGGUCAAGAAGGCUCUAUAAUCCUCUUACUCUUAUUUUCGAGCACUGGAGUCACCCCGAUCAUCCAUUACAAAAGCUCCGUUUUAGUGUUUCUGAGGAUGACGACGAUGACAGUGAUGAUGAUGCAGCCUUGUUGAUAUGCGAUGGGUGCAUUCAGCCCAUAACCCUUUCUCAUCCAACUUACUAUGCUUGUAUCCAAUGUGGUUACUUUCUCCACUCCUUUUGUGCAACAGAGUUGCCACCAGAGUUGCCUGCAGGAGCAUCCACGUUUCACCCUCAACAUCCGCUCAUGCUCUGGAAGAGGAGCAUUUCGGCCUUUGGUCUUGUGACAUGUGGAGCAUGCGCCAGCGAAACGAAUGGAUUCUUCUAUCACUGUAAGACUUGUGAUAUUAGAGUUGAUAUCCGUUGUGCAUUCUUACCCACCAGGAUUAAACAUAUAUCUCACAAGCACUCUCUUGUUCAGCGUCCAUUUUCUGAACCCAUGUGUAGCAUAAGUAAGAUUACAAUUACAGGUGGCCUGGUAUAUGGGUGUGAAACUUGCAGUGACGUACAUAUUAGUAUACUUUGUGUAUUUUUGCCAAGCAUUGUCAAACACAGGUUUGAUAGUCACCCGAUAACGUUGAGACUUCCUCCAUUUUUCUACGAAGGAGUUUUCUACUGUGAAUUAUGCGAAGAACAAGUUAACAAUCAAUGGCCACUCUAUCACUGUGAUGAAUCUGAUCAUUCUUUUCAUUAUAACUGCUUUGAUCUUCUUCCGAACAUCAAAUUUGGAGGGACCAUUGAACUUGAUAUUGACCAUCGGCCGCACACAUUUACAUUUGUUUUAGAGAGGCCUAAGAAAAAAGGCUUCCUAUACAAGUGUAGCAAUUGUGCUGACUCCUAUGAAUUUGGUGUAUUUUUUAGAUGUGACGGGUGUGGAUAUCUUGCCUGCUAUGGAUGUGUCAAUAAGGUGCUGGGCGGAACUUCACCCAAUGAAUUUGUAAUUCCCGAAUAGAAAAGUUAUUGCAUUGUACUAUUAGUUCUUUUUUCUUCUUCUUUAAGCUUGUCUGUGUUAUUCUAUACUUACAAGACUUGUCAUAUUAUUUCCUUUAAAUCCAUUGUGCAUUCUUAUAGUAAUUACAUAUUCUUACAAGGGAACCUGAGUCGGUCUAUCGUCAGAUGACAUUGUAAUCCCUUUUCAUCUAUAACUAGAAAGGGAUACUAUGAUUUUUAUUUUCAUAUUAAAAGUUUUAAAAGUUUUUACGGCUUCUGAUGCCAACUAGAAAGUUCUCAUGUUAUUCGGCAGUUCAGCGUUUUGAGAAAUUGCUAAAGCUUUCUGCAGCACUUAUAAUUUGGAAACUUUGAGAAAUAUUAGUGAACUGAGUAUUUUAUAGAUCGAACUAAUGAUUUGUUACCCAGGUAUUUUAAUGAUUCUAGUAUUCUAUAGAUCGAAAGGAAUUUCGGGUAACGGGUCGUGUUCGUGUCAGCAAUCGGGUCAAUUUCAGGUAAAGCUAAAAUCACUUACAAUUAAAGAAAACUGAAAGUUGAAGUUAUUAAAAAUGAAAUUCUAAUUUCGGGUCAUUUCAGGUCCAUUUCGUGUCAAUCGGGUGAUUUUCGGAUCACUUUCGAGUUUUGUCUUAGUAAAUCGGAUUACAGGUUCGGGUCGAGUUCGGAUCGUGUCUGAUAUUGUCACCCCCUGCAUGUGAUUAAGUUUGACGCAGGCCCGGCUCAAUCAAAAUUGAGGCCUAUGCUAAAUUUAAAUGGUGCCUUUUAAUAAAAAAAAACAUCACAUAAAUGUUAUUCUAUUUUAAAUUAAUUUGAAACUUAAAAUAAGAAAAACGUCAAAUAAAAUAUACAUCGUCUGAGUAGCAUAUUUAUAUUUUUAUUAAAUAAAUUAAUUUAUUUAACACAAAAAAUAAAUAAUAGUUAUAAUAUAUAAUAUGUGACAAGAAUAAAAAUUAUAUUUAUAUUAAUUAUUCACUAAAAAUAUUUAGCAAAUCAAUACCAAAAAUUCAAAAAUUAAUUUAAUAAAUAAUAAUCAAUACUAACAUAAGAAUAUAUAAUAUCAGUUUAUAUUUAAUAAUAAUAAUAUUAAUGAUAAUCAACUAACUAUAAAAAAAUAUAUAAAUCAAGGAUUUUAAUAAACAUAGAAUGAAAAAUAAAAUUAAUUGUAUAUGUGUAGAAAUAUUACAGCUUAAAAAUUCGGGGCCCUCCAAAUCUUGAGCCCCUGUGCCGAAGGGCUUCUUGCACACCCUAAUCACCGGCCCCGGAGACAGGUUGAGUUCCCUAUCUUGGGAAAGCUGUGCUCUUUGGUGUUUCCUUGUUGUCAAACAGCUUUGGAACUGUUUCACUGCAACUGACCCGGUCACUCUCCGGGUCAGUUUCUUCCACCUCUCCUCACCACUCCACCCCAACCUGGAGAUAUGUACACUGCAACUGUGCUCAGCACGAGCGGCUCAAGACCAAUAACUCCUGUCCAAGAGCUCCUGUUUUGUGUGUACCAGCUGCUUCUUCCCAGAAUAAGCAAGCCACAUAUUUGGGCAGGGCGUAUAAAAAGGUAUUUCCCGAGUCUCUUAAUACUUUUUCUUUUUGUCUUUAUCACGUUUGAUAACACAUGCUUUUACUCGUUAAUAUUUUUAAUUUUGCAUUCUUACUAAAUAUAAAAACUUCACCAUACUCAUGAGAAUGAAUCCAACAAGAUCACUCAUGACUAUAUUUGAUUAUAUAGAUUUCAUGUAAAUUAGUAAUUUGCUUCAUUUUAUGAACAGUCCCGACAUAUUAAACAAGAAAAGUAAUUAGAGACGGAGUGAGCAGUAAUUAAUAUGCUAUUUGCAUUGAGAAUACAAGAAAAUAGAACAGGUACCUUACAAUGCAUGAGAAAAGGACACAACUAAAAACGAGGUGAUGACUUGGCCUACGUUAGGCAAUUUGGUAAGGUCGGAUGAACAACAUGCAGUAAAUUGAUUGCUUUCCUGGAUACAUCAUUGGAUGAUCAGAUUGCAUAUUGUUAUGCAAUCAGGCUGCUUUCACAUCGGAACACUAUCUGUUACUCGUACUCCCUCCGUCCCCCUGAAUUCUAUAUAUUGGCGGGCGGAGAAGUGUGUGAAUCCUCCUGUAAAAUAUAGUUGUAUGAUUUUAAAUUUUUAUUCAGAAAGAGAAAAUUUUAAAAAUAAGUUAUAGAACUAUAUAUUUUAUACGAGCAUUAGAGGGCAUGCCGAGCAAUGAAAGAAAAACGUAUAGAUUUGAGUGGGACGGAGGGAGUAUGGAUCAACCAGGUGGAUGUCAGUGUUCAUAUGCUGCCGGUCCACUUAAAAGCUACCUUGAAAACCUUUCUCAACUUCAGUCACUUCUUUACCAGUUUUUACAAGUAAACACUCCCUCUAUGACUUGAACUGAGAUAAGAAAACUGCCUUGUCAAUAAAAUAACUGUAAUACAGUGAAUGAUUAGUUUUUUUUCUUCAAAAGUGUUCCCUAGUUAGUCUGUUAUUUAGCUUUUAAGUGAAGUGUAACAAAAAGUAGUCAUGUAAAUAGAAAUCACGAAAUAUAAAAAAUAAGAGAACAGAAUAUAUGACUAAGAAACACUCCAUUGCAUCUAUUCAGUCAGUUCACUUACUUAUGUUCUUCCCUCUGGCCUCUGCUCCUAAACUAGACCACUUAUUAUAGUAUUCAGCCACUAGCACUUGUUAACGAGGCUCAACCAUGAUUGUCGGAUCUCGCGAUCAAGAUUGGGUGCAAUGGCACGUGGUAUAGCAUCAUAUAACAUGCAGCUGAUCCUGAAUCUACUCCAAAAUAUAAUAAACAAGAGGCUUACAGUUAACUGAUGAUACUAUAUGAAGUUGCCAUUGACUUUACUAUGUCUAUAUAUAUCUGUGUGUGCUCUAGGCCUAAUAGUAAUCAUCCCAUUUGUAGAUCUUCCCCUCGCCCAAAAUGAUUUCUGUAUAUGAGUUGUGUAGUGGCAAGUCUAGGUAUGGUGGGCACACAUUAAAAUUGAAAGAGGAUGAUAUUGUUGGAGAGGAUGCAAACUGCAUUGGUUGCGAGAAAUCAAUAAAAGGCUCUCCUACAUAUAUCUGCAGUGUUAGUCAUGAUGAUCUUGAUUGUCGAGGAUUCUACUUGCACAAGAGCUGUGCAGAAUUGUCCAUACGAGAUGACUACCAUGGACACCCGCUAAGACUAAUUGAAGAGGAGGACGAUAUUAAGGGAGGGGAUUCUGCAUGCUUUGUUUGCAACAAACAAAUUGUAGCAGGCUUUCCUACAUAUACUUGCAUUCAUGAUGUCGAUGUUGAUUGUCAAAAUUUCUACCUCCACAAGACUUGUACAGAAUUCCCCUUGCAGCUGAACCACCAUAAGCACAACAAGCACUCCCUUGCUUUUCUGCCAGCUCCUGAUUGCGUUUGUGAUGUUUGUUUUCAU